This 489-nucleotide ribosomal RNA is filed under the name uncultured bacterium. Its description in RNAcentral is "partial 16S ribosomal RNA". It matches the Rfam family "Bacterial small subunit ribosomal RNA", at positions 30 to 507 of the family's 1533-position model. The record is from RNAcentral.
AUUGAACUCUGGCGGCAGGCCUACACAUGCAAGUCGAACGGUAACAGGGAUCAGCUUGCUGAUUCGCUGACGAGUGGCGGACGGGUGAGUAAUGUCUGGGAAACUGCCUGAUGGAGGGGGAUAACUACUGGAAACGGUAGCUAAUACCGCAUAACGUCGCAAGACCAAAGAGGGGGACCUUCGGGCCUCUUGCCAUCGGAUGUGCCCAGAUGGGAUUAGCUAGUAGGUGGGGUAACGGCUCACCUAGGCGACGAUCCCUAGCUGGUCUGAGAGGAUGACCAGCCACACUGGAACUGAGACACGGUCCAGACUCCUACGGGAGGCAGCAGUGGGGAAUAUUGCACAAUGGGCGCAAGCCUGAUGCAGCCAUGCCGCGUGUAUGAAGAAGGCCUUCGGGUUGUAAAGUACUUUCAGCGGGGAGGAAGGGAGUAAAGUUAAUACCUUUGCUCAUUGACGUUACCCGCAGAAGAAGCACCGGCUAACUCCGUG